AACUUGCAGUAUCAAGCCUGCAGGUAUUAUUUUUCCCAAGUUUUCUCUGAAGUGUGUACAAGAAUAGUCAGAAUGAUAAAAAGCCUUCCAGUGUCUAUUGCAUAUUACAAAAAUGCUUCAAUAAAUUAAUACGAUUAUAUUCUGGAACACAUUAUUAGCUGUUUUAGCAAAGGAAAAUUACUAGAACACCCAAGAUUUAGCUUAGUUAGCACUUGAGCCUCUACUGUUUACAAAAAGAAUAUUGGGGAUUUCUUUAACAGAUUCAUUAUAUAUAGAGAUGAAAUGGAAUUAUUGUCCAUAUAAAAGUGACCUCUAAUUAGGAUAAACCCUAAAACAAGUUUUCCUCCUCCUAUCGUCUUCUCUGACUCUCCCCUUUUUGAUUCCCAUGGCUGGCAAGAUAAAAGACCCAUCACAAUAUCUUUUGUCCAUCUCCUGUUUCUUCUUUCUCACUCCCAUGGCAGGCAACUUCCACUCAUCUACUUCACAAAUCCAAGACUAACGCUCUACAAUGUCUGCCUUCUUAUUUCGAUUAUUCCAAAAACAGUGGAUUGAAAGCCGACUCUAAUGCUCAGUGGAAGAGUAAGAACCGGAAAAUGAUGUUUAAAGGAUUGAUGGAAUUUCUAUUUUUGAGCUAAAGAAAUUAUGGACUUGAUCCCUUAAAGCAUAUUUUAUUAAAGGAACUUCCUGUUCUGCAUUUGCAGCAGUUAAAAAAAUUAGUGUACCCUUUUACCAGAAAAUAUUCAACUUAAAUUCCUAUACACUCCGUAUACCAAAUUCCUAUACACUCUAUAUACCAAGAAAUGCUGAAAAUAUUUUUUUCAUAAAAAAAAUGAAUCAAAAGUCUUAAUAGUUUUAUUUUAUACAAUUAUAUCUUGCUUCAUAAAAUGGUACGAUUAGUUGUUGGAUGUCUAACUAUAAUUGCAGGCAGUACUGCAGAGGACAGUGAAUGACUACAAAAGAUCUGGA
Molecule: unclassified non-coding RNA, 966 nt
Filed under: Hevea brasiliensis (rubber tree)
Lineage: Eukaryota; Viridiplantae; Streptophyta; Magnoliopsida; Malpighiales; Euphorbiaceae
Source: RNAcentral